Molecule: ribosomal RNA, 253 nt
Filed under: uncultured bacterium
Lineage: Bacteria
Description: partial 16S ribosomal RNA
Rfam family: Bacterial small subunit ribosomal RNA
Source: RNAcentral
UACGGAGGGUGCAAACGUUGCUCGGAAUCAUUGGGCGUAAAGCGCACGUAGGCGGCCUGAUAAGUCGGGUGUGAAAGCCCUGGGCUCAACCCAGGAAGUGCACUCGAAACUGUCAGGCUUGAAUAUGGAAGAGGGUCGCGGAAUUCCCGGUGUAGAGGUGAAAUUCGUAGAUAUCGGGAGGAACACCUGUGGCGAAAGCGGCUCACUGGACCAUAACUGACGCUGAUGCACGAAAGCUGGGGGAGCAAACAGG